Pogoniulus pusillus (Red-fronted tinkerbird) is the source of this 1890-nucleotide long non-coding RNA. RefSeq lists it as uncharacterized. The transcript is spliced from 3 exons. The record is from RefSeq and is a predicted model, not a curated record. NCBI's taxonomy places the organism in Eukaryota, Metazoa, Chordata, Aves, Piciformes, Lybiidae.
UGAUAAUGCCAAUGUUGAUGUUGCUGCCCUACCUUGCACAUACCAAGAACACUCACAGAUUCCCAUGAGAUGAUGCAUUUUGUAGCAUUUCUUACAACGCCUAUUCAGGAGAUCAGUUUGUCUACCAGACAGAAAAGCUGCAAAAUUCUGAAACCUUCUCUGCAAACACGUGUGAGAAUUUUUCAUUGCUACUGAAAUUUCUAGUGUCCAGUUUCUGUAGGCAAUAGGCUUAAGCCACUGCAGAGGUUAAGAAUUAUUGAAAGUCCAAAGUAAAAUUAAUUUUGAUAGUGUGCUAUUUCCUAAAGAAUCACAUUUAUGUCAGGUGAAAAACGUAAUGAAACUGGGAAAGCUGUGUCUGAUAGCUGAAAUAAAACAUUAAUUAAACAAGUUACUUUUACAACCUCAGUCUCCAGGACACUCAACAGAGGUAUAUGAGAGAUGGAAUUAAGCUGUUUAAGUGAUAUUAAAGAUUAGGCAAGGCUUGUGGCAAAUGCAGCAAAACAGUGUUUGACUAUAGCCUCUUUUCCAUGUACUUGAAUAUGAAGCAUCCCAAAGAGAAGCAGUGUGUCUAGUAUAUAUAUAGUUUGAAGCAUCUUUUGUCUUAAGUGAGGUUGGACUAAGUCAGGAACUUCCCUUAGCAAAGCAGGACAUCUUUGGGUAGCAAUCACAUCUGUGAUAGUUUUCCACAGCCCUUAAACCAGGAUUGCAAAGUAGAUGGGAGAAUGGCUUAGCUGAGCAGUCUGUGAACUGAUGUCAGUGAGACUUUUGCCAUUGAUCUCAACGAUGCCAAGAUCUGUCUCUUCUUAAUUUGUUUUCUAAGUUUCAUCUACAGUUUUCACUGGCCUGGCUGCAGUUCAGGGAAGUUGUUGAACCAGUGGAUAGUUUCUUAUAGUUUUACCUUCUUGAGUCAUGUCAGUUAGGCCACUCUUAAUGAAAACCUAUUGCAAUCGCUGUAGCACACAGCAAUACUUGUUACUAAGGCACUUUGCUCAACAAAAAGAAGUAUUCAGACUAGGAUUCAGUCCUAACCUCCAGAACAAAUCUUUACACCUUCUGUCCACUCUUUCCCUUAAAGUUUACUCCCCUCUUGUAGCUCUCCCUGGUCUGACACUUCUAACUGACUGAGAAUGCUGGUUUUCCUCAGGAGAAAAAAAAUACCCAAGUACUCAAAUUCUCUUUCGAGUUAGGUCUCUUUAUAAAGGCUUGGCUGAACUCUAAACUUUACCGAAGGGGGAAGCCUUUCCCACAAUCCCUUUCAAGACCAACCCCUUUGAUGUCACAGCUGGCUCAAGUAAACUCAUUUCCUCCUUCCCUAAUGUGUGUCUGAUGCAAUUUUGGCAAGCCAUCUCUCCCUGCUGUUAGUGCUGCCUGUUUUGGAAUGAGGCCAAGCGCAAUGUUUAAUAUACUUUGCAUACGUCUUGUCUGAAGUCCUGGAAGAAACAUCUGUUUACUCCAAAGGCCUGUUCUACCAGCUGGUAAAGGAGAUUUGUCACUCACAGGUAUGACAGUAAGAUGAUGAUGUUCACUCAUCUUGAGAACUUAAGUUGCUACAAAAUGGCUAAAGAUGCUUUUUGAACACUGUAAGAGGUAAGUCCAAAGUCAUCCUUAUUCCAGUUAUCAGUGUGUUGAAAGCAUUUAGUGCUUAUUAAUUAAAACAAAAACAAACAAAAAAAUCCCAAAAAAAAAAAAAAAAACCAAAAAAACCCCAAAUCCCCAAAGCUAUUUCCCACUUCUAAGCCCUCCAUUUCUUUUUUAUGUACAAUAUUUUUACUUGUGGCAAGAACAUUGAGGGCAAAGUGUAGAAUUCAGUGCUUCUGCGACUAUGGAAAUGAUUCAUAGCUCUACUGGAAUGAAAGACAUCUUCCUGAUGUUAUUCAACUAUUAAAUACU